GAUGAUGAUCCCAAGCCUUCUGGCGAUCUACACAAAAUAAGCCCACCGUGGGCUUUGAAAAACGCUUUCCUUUAUAAAAUUAAGCGUUUUAUAAGAGGAUGCCGGGGAAGGUUUUCCGGUUUAUCCCGGAGGGCUUGUAGCUCAGUUGGUUAGAGCGCGCGCUUGAUAAGCGUGAGGUCGGAGGUUCAAGUCCUCCCAGGCCCACCAAUUUAUCCAUUGCUUUCAUAAGUACUUUAAAAAAUCAGCACUUCUAAAAAGCUUAUCAAAAUUGGCAGGCUUAUUGCUUUUGUGUGCGUAUCAAAGUUAAAGCAACUGAAUGGUAAGCAAGCAGUUCAAAUGCUAAAAUGCUAAAAAGUUGAAAUUCCUUGCAAAGUGAUUUUUGCAGUGUCCAUUUGGUUGAUACAAAUUCCCAAUACUCAUGGACGUAAAUGCCCAUAUAAAACAUAUCGGUUAACUCAUAUCACUUUGGAUUAUAUACGUUUUUUAAUCCCUCUUUUAAUCGUUUUAAACGCUUUAUCCUGUUUUAGGGGCCGUAGCUCAGCUGGGAGAGCACCUGCUUUGCAAGCAGGGGGUCGUCGGUUCGAUCCCGUCCGGCUCCACCAUAAGAUCAUCAUCAUUGUUGUAAGAACGGUUUUGUGAAAGGUUUGCGAGCCUUUUGCUUGUUCU
RNAcentral lists this transfer RNA (666 nucleotides) under Bartonella koehlerae subsp. bothieri. RNAcentral's name for it is "partial 16S-23S ribosomal RNA intergenic spacer". The stretch from base 131 to 204 matches the Rfam family "tRNA". The record is from RNAcentral. Lineage: Bacteria; Pseudomonadati; Pseudomonadota; Alphaproteobacteria; Hyphomicrobiales; Bartonellaceae.